ACGGAAGGCAGCAGUGAGGAAUAUUGGUCAAUGGGCGCAGGCCUGAACCAGCCAAGUCGCGUGAGGGAUGACGGUCCUACGGAUUGUAAACCCCUUUUGCCGGGGAGUAAUGUGCGGGACGAGUCCCGUAUUGGGAGUACCCGGAGAAAAAGCAUCGGCUAACUCCGUGCCAGCAGCCGCGGUAAUACGGAGGAUGCGAGCGUUAUCCGGAUUUAUUGGGUUUAAAGGGUGCGCAGGCGGCGCGUCAAGUCAGCGGUCAAAUCCCGGGGCUCAACCUCGGUUCGCCGUUGAAACUGCCGUGCUCGAGUUCGUGCGAGGAGAGCGGAAUGCGUGGUGUAGCGGUGAAAUGCAUAGAUAUCACGCAGAACGCCGAUUGCGAAGGCAGCCCUCCAGCACUGGACUGACGCUGAGGCACGAAAGCGUGGGUAUCGAACAGGAUUAGAUACCCUGGUA
Molecule: ribosomal RNA, 453 nt
Filed under: uncultured Porphyromonadaceae bacterium
Lineage: Bacteria; Pseudomonadati; Bacteroidota; Bacteroidia; Bacteroidales; Porphyromonadaceae
Description: partial 16S ribosomal RNA
Rfam family: Bacterial small subunit ribosomal RNA
Source: RNAcentral